RNAcentral lists this long non-coding RNA (2078 nucleotides) under Homo sapiens (human). RNAcentral's name for it is "HSALNT0311675". The record is from RNAcentral. Lineage: Eukaryota; Metazoa; Chordata; Mammalia; Primates; Hominidae.
CACCGCGACCCCUCCCGCAACCCGCCUGGCGGCCGGGGGCAGCGUGACCCGGCCCGCUACCGUGUCACAGCUGGCGACUGACAAACAGCAGGCGACGUCGGGAGAACUCCCCGAGACACCCGAGACAUCAGCCUUCUCGCUCCGCGGCCCUGCAGGACCUGCCCGCCGGGAGCCCCGGAGUCCGCGGCAGCGCCGAGGGCCCCUCCCCCAGGCCUCUGGGCUCUGAGGGACCAUGCCUGGCCGGAUGCUGCCGCCUGGCUUCAGUGCCAUCUGCAUGUCCUCAGGGAUGACAAAGGACUCAUUGUACCAGAUGUCAAAUUCUACAAGGAGGUGAGGAGACAGAACUUGAGGAAGCCGACAGUCUUCAUCUGUCACCCAGACUGGAGUGCAGUGGCGCAAUCUUGCCUCACUACAACCUCUGCCUCCUGGGCUCAAGCGAUUUUCAUGCCUCAGCCUCCCAAGAUGCUAGGAUUACAAGUGUGUGCCACCACGCCCUGCUCCUCUGAGAAAUAAAUGAGUAAAAUGCACCCCCUGUGAGUGAGAUGAUGCAUCUGACUUGCAGGAAUAAACCAAGUGACAUCUGGAGAUCACUCAUGGAAGCUGGCCUGGAACAGGGUUGUGAUUUAGCGAGGGAAAGCCCAGUAACCUGUGGUGUUUCCUGUCUGGAAGAAGACAGUAAGACUGAGCCAGGAGUGUGAAGAACAGUGUGGCCUCUGAACCACCUGUCCCAGAGUUGGAAUGGUCACUCACUAAAAUGCAGGUCCUGGGCCCUGCUCCAUCUCUCCCAAGUCAGAACCACUGGCUGAGGGGCUGGGAAUCUGCACUUGACCAGCCCUCUCAGAUAAGUCAUCUGAACACGCAAGCUUGGUGGGCCUUGGCCCUCAGUGCAGGUGUGGGCGGCGCACGCCACCAGGACAAGGACACUGGGUCAGAGUAACCAGGUACUCUUCACAUGUUGAGGAUCACAUAUGGUUUUGUUUGAUCUGGUGCAGAAGCUAACAUUAGCUGAUUACCUAAUUGGGCGUAAUUCCUCCUUCGGGGAGUCUGAGGGAAGGGGCUCAAUGCUGGAAGUUUCCCGGUCCCGCGAAAGCAUGUCUUUGACAUCCCCAUCUUUGGAGGAUGGGACCAGCUGGGUCUUGGAGGUGGAAACGUAAUCCAAGUCCUUCCCAUUCACAGGGCUGCUGGCACCUUCCUUUCUUGCCAAGGAGCUGGAAGAAGGCACGGAAGCCCCAGGGUUCAGUCAUGGACAGUGAGUUAUCAGAUGCCAGGAUGAGUGACCUUUCUCAGCACUGACUACACUGGGAACCCCACCUCAUUCAGCUCCCAUCUUGUUCAUAUGCCUAGGUAAAAGCGCAAAUAGUGUGAUGCUAAGCCAGGCAGAUGUGGAGGAAGAAGAGGGCAUUUUUCUCCCUUUUAUCAGAACAAAGAGCCCUCGGUGGUCUUGGCAGGAGACGCUUGGGAAAAAUGGGUACAAUCUCCAGGGAUUGAAAGUGUAUGGACCUGUAGGAUGGGCCACAGGUUCUCAGGAACCACCACGGCUGCUGAGGUCUGAGUCAUACAGGCUUCCCCGGGAAGGACUGGCAGAGCCCCACACAGGGUGGUUCUGUCUGUGGAUCAAUGGUAAAGCAGGAUGGCUCUGCCCUGCUGUUCUUACUGGUCCACACCCUGUUCUCCACACCAGCUCCCAGAAAAGUAGCUGUCCUCCCUGCUGAAGUGACAGUGCUUGGUGCCUUUCUCCGAGAAGAGGCAGAUCUGAGGACCGAACUGGCAGGAGGAUGCCCAUGGCUCUUCCCAAAGGUCUGAGGAUAGAAAAUCUGUUUCUUCCUCUUUCCUCCUCCUUGCAACGAGUAUGGCUCAGGGAACUGAGCCUCAACCCAUUGAAUACUGCACUGAUUAUCCGGAAGCAGAACAGAGAGGGUUGGGGUGUGACUGCACUCAUGAAGAGGCAGGAGGAAGCCAGGGACACUGGCAUCCUCUGCUGCCUGACUCUUGUCCUGCGUGUAACAGUUUUCUACAAUCAGCUCUGGCCUGUGGCCUGUGCUCACACACUCUUGCUCACAACAACCUCAAUGACUUGG